GGACCUCAGAUCGGACGAGAUAACCCGCUGAAUUUAAGCAUAUCACUAAGCGGAGG
Molecule: ribosomal RNA, 56 nt
Filed under: Bohadschia marmorata
Lineage: Eukaryota; Metazoa; Echinodermata; Holothuroidea; Aspidochirotida; Holothuriidae
Also listed under: 4 other names
Description: partial 28S ribosomal RNA
Rfam family: Eukaryotic large subunit ribosomal RNA
Source: RNAcentral